UUUUUUUUUUUUUUUUGCAUUUCAUCUACUUAAUUAUUUUGUAAGGUAGUUGUAAUACUUGGGUCACAGGGCUCAUAUAGAGGUCAGAGGGUAAUAUGUUGAGAGUCAGUUCCCUCCUUCACCUUGUGGGUCCUAGGGAACAGACUCAAGUAGUUUAUUCUUGGCAACAAAUGUGUUUAUCUCCUGAGCCAUCAUGCUGGCCCCAUUGAUGACUCUUGAUGAAUCAACUAUUCGUAUGGCAGCCCCAAAGUGAAGUUAUGAUUCUGGUUUUAAGGCUGGUAUCAUGGUGAUGGGUAAGGGUAGAAAGGAGAGGGAGUAGAGAAUUAAAUUGUGUAAUACCUGAUUUCUCAGAUGUCUACUGAGGUUGGGAGUGACUGGUGUUAGCUUUCUAACUUCACUAAGAACAAGCUAGAGAAUUCCAUGGCUUUGCAUGAUAAAAUCGCUUGCGGCCCUAAUGGACGCAACUCCAUUUUUCCAGCACUCAGUUAUCCCAGACAGCCCACCACCACCACUUAGCAUCCAUUUUCUCACGUCUCUGAUGACAACUCAGGGGGACCAUAUUGGUACCUCUGGUUUAUACACAAGAAAACUAACAUUCAGAAAGCUUGCAAUAUUUGCCAAAAGCCAUAUAGCUAGAAAAUGAAGAGUCUAGAUUCAGGCCAGAGAAGCUAGCAGCCCCCCACCCUUCCAGAGAGGCUGGCAAGCCCCCCCCCACACACACACACCCCUAGGAUAGUUGUUUAUGUGUAGCUUUGAUGCCCUUGACUUACAGGCGCCAAUGUGCUCUGAGCAGCCAUUGGCUGAGAGGAACUCCAGCCAACUCUGGGGCAAGCCUGGUGGCAGAGUCUCCAGACAUUGACUCAUCUGUUCCUGUAGCUGGGUAUGGCUGCAUCCCUGAGCUUAGAAAGGCAGGAAGCAACGCUGGUAUUUUAGAAUGGCUUUCAACAAUAACCUUGAUUGAGGGGAUUUUCCAGUUAACCCUGGAGAAUUCCAAUAACCAAACACUUAUUGUGUUUCUGUUCUUUGAAAAGUGGUAAUCCUUGGUAUGUGUAUGGUGAUUCUCAUUAACCAGCCAGUUCAACCAAACAGGAUUCCCUUAUUAGGAUAAGCAAAGAGCCAUAGAGUUACCAAGCUGAAAGAAAGGACUUUCCAGAGCAUUUACCAGAAUCCCUUAUCAGGUGAAGGGAUGACGUUUAUUCAUGUAGCUCAGCCUGCAUUCCUGGCAUAACCAUAAGUCCCAGCUUUGAGUGCUUUCUGCUACACUGAGUGACUACAGGGUGACCUGUGAGCUAAGUUUAGCCUUCAGCCACGUUUGGUUUGUCCUGCACGAUACUUCUAAAAAACUAAAUUUGCUAAAAAUGGUGGUACAUGUCUUUAAUCCCAGCACUUAGGAGGCAGAGGCAGAACUGUAGCAAAUAGAAAUCCUGUUUCAAAAAACCCAAACCAAACCAGAGCACAAGCAAACAACUCUGGGAGAUCGGUUAACACUAGGCUUGAAAUAAAGAGGAGCUAAGUAGCUGGUACCCUUUAGACUAGGCACCUGGGGUCUAAAUGCCACUUCACCCCCAACCUGGUCUGCCUUACCCACUUACCCAUUUCAUGACCUGCCUUGUCCCACCAGGCAUUGGAAUUGGGGUGCCUGCUUUUUGGCGAGGGGCAUUUCUUGAUUAAUUUUUUUUUAAUGAGGGAGACUAAAGUGGGCCAGAUAAAAAGUCAGGGGAGAUAAGAAGUCAAGAGUGCCCAUCAGAAUGUGAAGGGUCACAAGCAAAUGGGAGCCCUAGAGAGUUCCCAAGGAGAUACAGGCAGAUUGGUGCCCAUGUAGAGCUAGGAGGAGAACCCCUGUGGGAAAUGGAGGAUCUAGAGUCAAGAGCAAGCCUACUUGAAGGUCUAGUAAUGUCAUAAUGAGCCACUCUAGUUUCCUGGAGAUCGGGUCCUGGUCCGCAUUCAGUGUUCUAGAAAUAGCUUAUCUUACAUCACUUCCUUAAUUUGGGCUCAGUGUACCUGUUUCAAGUCAUUGGGUGGCUCAUACAAGAUACGUUAGGUUGAGUAAUCUUUAAAUAGAAUUUCAUUUCUCAAGGUUCUAGAGACUGGGAAGUCCAAGAUUUCAAGGCACCAGCAGAUCCUUACAAAGUAGACAAGCUCUCUCAAGCCAUUUUCCUAAUACUAUUCUUGAAAGUCUCCUGGGAGACUUAGUUACCUCCCAGGGUUUCUGCCUCCUAGUAAGUAGUAUGGCUAGAAAUUAGCCAGGCCCAGUGGUGGUGUGUGUGUGCAGUGCACACCUUUAACCCCAGCACUUGGGAGGCAGAGGCAGGAGGAUUUCUGAGUUUGAAGCCACCCUGGUCUACAGACACACACACAAAUAAAAUAUGAUAAAGAUUUAAAAAACAAAAUUUAUUGGAUGUUACAUGUUCAUAAAGGCAACAGCAGACAAGGUGCAUGUGAUUCAAAAGCAAAAAAAAACCUCCAGUGACCAAGACCUUUUAAAAGACGCUGCCUCUUUCACUUUCAGCCAUGUGAGGAACUUGAUCGUUUUUCCUACUUAUUCAUUGAUAUAUAUAUUUAUUCACUUUACAUCCCAAUUGCUGCUCCCCUCUCCCCGUACCUCCUUCACACAGUCCCCCAUCCCCUUUUCCUCUGAGAAGAUGGAACCCUCCCUCUUCCCUCGGUUAUCCCCCAACCUAGGUACAUCAAGUCUUUGCAGGGCUAGGCACAUCCUUUCCCACUGAGGCCAGACAAGGCAGCCUAGUUAAGGGAACAGGACCCACAGGCAGGCAACAGAUUCAGGGACAGCCCUUGCUCCAGUUGUUGGGAGAUCCACAUGAAGACCAAGCUACAUAUCUGUUCCAUAUGUGCAAGGAGGCCUAGGUCCAGCCUGUGUAUGCUCUUUGGUUGAUGGUUCAGUUUCUGGGAGCCCCUAGUGGUCCAGGUUAGUUGACUUUGUUGGUCUUCUUGUAGAGUUCCUAUUUCCUUCAGGGCCUGCAAUCCUUCCCACAACUCUUCCACAAGAGUCCCCAAGCUCCAUUUAAUGUUUGACUGUGGGACUCAGCAUCUGUUUCAGUCAGCUGCUGGGUAGCUGUCAGAGGAGUUAUGCUAGGCUCCUGUCUACAAGCACAACAGGCUCCAUAUCCUCACUGCUAGGAGUCUCAGCUAAAGUCACCCCCAUGGACUGGGAUGGGUGAGACUCCCGGGAGCUUUACCAUUUUGUCUGCUGUGAGAGAGAAGUCAGGAAAAACAAAAACAGAGCCUACUUAAUUGAGUUCGGAACUUAAAUCUGCCAGAACCCAAUGCAGUGGGUGCCCUCACUGCCAGAUGGCCAGCAGGUCCUUGGGAGUAAACCAGAAGACAGUUUUAAGAGGCUGUUGUUUCCCUAAGGACAUAGCUUAUAAUCUGCCUGUGCUUGAAGUACUUGCACAUACAGAGACUUCUUCUUUUUAAGCACAUAUUGAUUAAAUAUAAUGAGGCAUACUGAGGUUGAGAGGAGAGAUCAGGGAGGGAGGCGUCCAUGCAUACCCAGGGCUUUGAACAAGGGCUCCCCGACUCAAGGAAGUGCACAAACCCAAAAUUACCAGGAACCUACCUGUGAGUUUGUUGUGGACAGUUUCUGGGAUUCUGUGUAGCCUUUAUCAGCAUCUCUAAAGGGUCAUUGUCCAAAUAUAGUUAAACAGACUUCGGACACGGAAGCGUUGGACUCCCAUUCCUAGGCACAAUGGCACAGUUUAUAGCAGGUCCCUGUCAACCUCACUCCAUCACCCCCUCAAAUCCUUGCCUAGAAAUCUAUUCCAGCUAGCCUCCUUUUGCCCUACCAGGGGGAGGGGAAAUCCGAAAGCUUAUUUUUAGGCAGGCCCUGCCAAGACUCCCCGCAGUGGCUGGACUGCUGCUGGGCCUGAGGGGUGCCCGCGCCCCAGGAGGACAAGCAGUGUGCGGGAGGGGCCUGCGGGCACGAGCGGAUGUCACAGCUUACCUCAGAGCCUGAAUUAGAAGCCUGAAAAAAAAAAUCACAGCAGGAAAUAAUGUGGUGCCCAAAAUAGAAACAUCAACCGGGAGAGAGGCCGGGAGUAGGUGGCGUUUGAGGCUCCUGCAGCGUCCUCCCCAGAGGCCUCCUGACAACCGGCAAGCGGGUUGGCAUGAGAUUGCAACCCAGCCCAAGAGGCCACAAAGGCACCGGCUGGAUGUUUCAGCAAGGGAGAAGGAAUGGGCAGUAAAGUGGAGAAUCAGGACCGCCUCCUCUUCCCUCCCUCUCGACUUUCUCCUUCCUUCUCCAAAGUCUUACCGCCACCGCUGACCCCUUCCUCUUUUUCGGCAUCAUCCCUCAACCUUCUCCCCACACAAUGACUUCUGCUUUUUUCCUCACUCUCUAGUGCCCCUUCUUCUCUGAUACUGCCCCCACCCCGCUUCCUCCUUUCCCUCCCCACACCAAGCCCUUCAUUUCUCCUGGGUGGUCUCUGCCCCAACCCGCCGCCCCCCAGCCUCCCGGUGCUUUUGGGUGCCUUCCUAGGUAACUAGUGGGAGCUCAGUCUAGCAGCAGCUAACUGAAGGUCAGCCUCCUGUGCCUGACUGCAGCCUGGCUGCACUGAUCUCCCCUUCACCCCACACUCAGCACCCUCCACGCCUCUUUAGAGAAAAGGAGGCCCUGGAGUCUAAGGAAGAUGGCAGGGUCAGGACUCCUUCCUCUGGGGCCUCUGGAGGGCUUGAGAGGAAGCAGAAACUUUGCAGGCAAUCUUGGACUGUCUCUCCCUUCACAGCUGAGUUCCUGGUAGAUUGCAUGGUUUGCCAAAUUUCCGUGUUUCUCAUGCUGGCAUGUGCCAUUGGGCAAGGUAUAAAGUCGGUGAGAACCAGACUUAAGGUCUCUCUGAUGCUCCCCUUAACCUUCACCAACCCCGAGUGGGGAAACAUCUGUGAUCUCCUUUACAGUGGGAACUCAGAUGCAGCAGGUGAGCUGGAGGAUGGGGGACACUGGAGGAUGGGGGACACUGGAGGAUGGGGACACUGGAGGAUGGGGGACACUGAGGAUGUCUUUAAUCUUAGCACUAGGUAGAGGCAGAUGAUCUCUAGGAGUUAAGAGUCCAUCCUGGUCUACAUGGUGAGUUCCAGGCUAGCCAAGGCUACAUAGUGAGACCCUGUCUUUAAAAACAAAGGAAAGAAAAGUCGGAGUAGUAGGCAUGCUGCAUGUUUGUAAGAGUAGAAGGGCUGGGAUCGAGGCACAGGGAGUGCAGCCCCUCUACUGACCUUGAACUUGGACCAAGUUCAUUGACUUGGUAUUUCCAUACCCGGUUUUCUUCGUAACAAGAUUUGUUUUUUAUUAUUUCUUUUCUGAAUGUAAGCAUGAGACAUUCCAUUACAUAUGUUGGGUAAUUUCAAUUAUUAAAAAUUCCCUAGGUGGGGCUGGAGAGAUGGCUCAGCAGUUAAGAGCACUAACUGUUCUUCCAGAGAUCCUGAGUUCAAUUCCCAGCAACCACAUAUGUUCACAACCACCUUUAAUGAGAUCUGAUGACCUCUUCUGAUAUGUUGGAAGCCAGCAACAGUGUGCUCAUAUACAUUUUAAAAGG
Molecule: long non-coding RNA, 5546 nt
Filed under: Mus musculus (house mouse)
Lineage: Eukaryota; Metazoa; Chordata; Mammalia; Rodentia; Muridae
Description: long non-coding RNA chr5:31567222-31572768
Source: RNAcentral